This 89-nucleotide transfer RNA is filed under the name bacterium. RNAcentral's name for it is "tRNA-Ser". It matches the Rfam family "tRNA". Rfam says of the family: Transfer RNA (tRNA) molecules are approximately 80 nucleotides in length. Their secondary structure includes four short double-helical elements and three loops (D, anti-codon, and T loops). The record is from RNAcentral.
GGAGACGUGGCUGAGUGGUCGAAAGCGCGUCACUGCUAAUGACGUGGGGGUCUAAUAGCCCCUCGUGGGUUCGAAUCCCACCGUCUCCG